CCUACGGGGUGCAGCAGGCGCGAAAACUCCGCAAUGCGGGCAACCGUGACGGGGUUACCCCGAGUGCCCCCNUUACGGGGGCUUUUCCCCGCUGUAAACAGGCGGGGGUAAUAAGCGGGGGGCAAGUCUGGUGUCAGCCGCCGCGGUGAUACCAGCCCCGCGAGUGGUCGGGACGAUUAUUGGGCCUAAAGCGCCCGUAGCCGGCCUGGUGGCCCCCCUCCUAAAGCCCCGGGCUCAACCCGGGGAGUGGAGGGGGUAGCGCCAGGCUAGGGGGCGGGAGAGGCCGAGGGUACUCCCGGGGUAGGGGCGAAAUCCGAUAAUCCCGGGAGGACCGCCAGUGGCGAAGGCGCUCGGCUGGAACGCGCCCGACGGUGAGGGGCGAAAGCCGGGGGAGCAAACCGGAUUAGAUACCCGGGUAGUCCCGGCUGUAAACGAUGCGGGCUAGGUGUUGGGCGGGCUUCGAGCCCGCCCAGUGCCGCAGGGAAGCCGUUAAGCCCGCCGCCUGGGGAGUACGGCCGCAAGGCUGAAACUUAAAGGAAUUGGCGGGGGAGCACCACAAGGGGUGGAGCCUGCGGCUUAAUUGGAGUCAACGCCGGGAACCUCACCGGGGGCGACAGCAGGAUGAAGGUCAGGCUGAAGACCUUACCUGACGCGCUGAGAGGAGGUGCAUGGCCGUCGCCAGCUCGUGCCGUGAGGUGUCCGGUUAAGUCCGGCAACGAGCGAGACCCCCGCCCCCAGUUGCUACCCGGGGCUCCGGCUCCGGGGCACACUGGGGGGACUGCCGCCGUAUAAGGCGGAGGAAGGAGGGGGCUAUGGCAGGUCAGCAUGCCCCGAAACCCCCGGGCUGCACGCGGGCUACAAUGGCGGGGACAGCGGGUUGCGACCCCGAAAGGGGGAGCUAAUCCCUGAAACCCCGCCGAGGUUGGGAUCGAGGGCUGCAACUCGCCCUCGUGAACGCGGAAUCCCUAGUAACCGCGCGUUAGCAUCGCGCGGUGAACACGUCCCUGCUCCUUGCACUCACCGCCCGUC
Molecule: ribosomal RNA, 1029 nt
Filed under: uncultured archaeon
Lineage: Archaea
Description: bacterial SSU rRNA
Rfam family: Archaeal small subunit ribosomal RNA
Source: RNAcentral